GGCUGAUCUGGCUCAUUACUAGCCUACAAUGCAUCAUCAUCAUCAUCAAUAGAUAGAUAGGGCUUGAACAAUCAAAAUUAAGUAAAUGGUAAAAUAAACAUACCUUCUUCCAAAAAACUAUUGUUAGAAUUAUUUCACAAAUAAGGUAUGACUAAGGAAUUCUUCUGUAAUAUUUCAAAAACAAAAUAUUUUUUAUUCAUAAUAUUAAAACACUUUUAUUUUGUCACAGCGGUAGGUGAUAACCAAAGUCAUAUAUCACACAGCCCUAAAUUUCAAGGGCUGUGUAAUACAUGACUUUGUUUAUAUUACACAGCCCUAAACAUUGGACAGAUUUUUUUUUUUUCACUGUCUAAUGUUAUUCUCACACUCCAACUGUGCUGGGGUUUAUUCCAGAAAGCAGAUUUUUCUAAAUUGUGAGCACAAAUCUGAAUCCUGAGAUGGGAAAUUUUUCAGUUCCAUAACAGCUCAAAUGAGCUGUUUGAGUUGACUCAGUCUGUUUACUUUGAGUUAAGCAUGAAACAACAAUCCUAAGGAGAGUUAAGACAUGAGAAUUCACCAUGGCAAUGGAUAACCAAAUGGCAGAGCAUUUCUUCAAUAGAUAGAUAGAUAGAUAGAUAGAUAGAUAGAUAGAUAGAUAGAUAGAUAGAUAGAUAGAUAGAUAGAUGAACAUCAAGUAUUAUCUUAGAUAAAAAAGAGAAUCACACUUUGUUCAGUAACAGUUUCAGUUCAAGGAAAUCUGACAACAUAACUGAGUCUUCUACGCUGUAAGCCCUUUGAAAUAGUAAGUAAACAGCAACAAGUCAAUACAAAAUUAUUUGGCUGUACCAUUGAAUGUGAUUUUCCCUCUAUUGAGCUCUGAAAGUAUAAAAGCAUGAAGUGAUGUGUCAGAGCUCAUUCAGAUGGCAGGAGAGGAGAUGCAUUAAUGGGAGAAAACCUGUUUUCAAGUGGGUUGGCUGCACUGAGUGUGUUACCACAGUAAUGGAUACAGAAUUAAAUUGAACUGAACCACAGAGUUUACUUCAACAUCAACCAAGUUUUCACUAAACCCACUUUCUGGAAUACUCCCUAAUUUGUGAUAAGGGUUUUCCAUUUUCUUUACUGCUGAAUAUGAAAUUGUAAAUCCCCUACUGUUAAGAAGCAUGCUCAAAUUUUACAUGUUGGACCAUCUGUAAAAACAGAACAAAAAUUGCUUCCUUAAAUGUAAAAGUGAACAUUACAGAUUUGAGUUAUAUUUCCAUGUCACAAAUAUAUCAUACUAAUCCAACAUCAUAAACAUUUUAUACACCAUAUGGUUGCUAUUUGUUGUGGAUUAGAUAA
Sphaeramia orbicularis (orbiculate cardinalfish) is the source of this 1317-nucleotide long non-coding RNA. RefSeq lists it as uncharacterized. NCBI's taxonomy places the organism in Eukaryota, Metazoa, Chordata, Actinopteri, Kurtiformes, Apogonidae. The transcript has 2 exons. The record is from RefSeq and is a predicted model, not a curated record.